GCGGGAAUAACUCAGUGGUAGAGUGUCAGCUUCCCAAGCUGAAGGUCGCGGGUUCGAGUCCCGUUUCCCGCU
Deltaproteobacteria bacterium is the source of this 72-nucleotide non-coding RNA. NCBI's taxonomy places the organism in Bacteria, Pseudomonadati, Myxococcota, Myxococcia. The record is from Rfam.